This 243-nucleotide ribosomal RNA is filed under the name uncultured Actinomycetales bacterium. RNAcentral's name for it is "partial 16S ribosomal RNA". It matches the Rfam family "Bacterial small subunit ribosomal RNA", at positions 88 to 334 of the family's 1533-position model. The record is from RNAcentral. Lineage: Bacteria; Bacillati; Actinomycetota; Actinomycetes; Actinomycetales.
UACUCGAGUGGCGAACGGGUGAGUAACACGUGGGUGAUCUGCCCUGCACUUCGGGAUAAGCCUGGGAAACUGGGUCUAAUACCGGAUAGGAGCCAUUUUUAGUGUGAUGGUUGGAAAGUUUUUUCGGUGUAGGAUGAGCUCGCGGCCUAUCAGCUUGUUGGUGGGGUAAUGGCCUACCAAGGCGGCGACGGGUAGCCGGCCUGAGAGGGUGGACGGCCACAUUGGGACUGAGAUGCGGCCCAG